AUGACUCGGAGGCGGAGCAGGCCGAGCGGCGGUGCGGGCAGGCGCGAGCGGGCUCGGGCCGCGGGGCCGCAGAAGCCCCAGGCGCCCGAGCCCCCGCCGCCGCCAAGCCUGGAGGCGGGAGCGGGUGCAGGCCCCCCGGAGGCGCCGGCGGAGCCCGACCACGACGGCCCCAGGGAGGAUGACGAACCCAAUCUGGUUCCCGGCCCGCAGGGCAGAAGAGGAAAGAAACUAACGGGUAUUGCGCACCUACUUUGUGCCAGGCCCAGGCCAGGGAUCCCGGGUGCAAGGGGCACAAGUUUGCACACAGUGGCCUGGCUUGCCAGCUGCCCCAGCCCUGCGAGGCAGAUGAGGGGUUGGGUGAGGAAGAGGAUAGCAGCUCUGAGCGAAGCUCCUGCACCUCGUCCUCCACCCACCAGAGAGAUGGGAAGUUCUGUGACUGCUGCUACUGUGAGUUCUUCGGCCACAAUGCGGAAAAGGAG
RNAcentral lists this small RNA (479 nucleotides) under Pongo abelii (Sumatran orangutan). RNAcentral describes it as "processed transcript". Lineage: Eukaryota; Metazoa; Chordata; Mammalia; Primates; Hominidae. The record is from RNAcentral.